This 465-nucleotide ribosomal RNA is filed under the name uncultured Klebsiella sp. RNAcentral describes it as "bacterial SSU rRNA". It matches the Rfam family "Bacterial small subunit ribosomal RNA", at positions 338 to 795 of the family's 1533-position model. Lineage: Bacteria; Pseudomonadati; Pseudomonadota; Gammaproteobacteria; Enterobacterales; Enterobacteriaceae. The record is from RNAcentral.
CCUACGGGUGGCUGCAGUGGGGAAUAUUGCACAAUGGGCGCAAGCCUGAUGCAGCCAUGCCGCGUGUGUGAAGAAGGCCUUCGGGUUGUAAAGCACUUUCAGCGGGGAGGAAGGCGGUGAGGUUAAUAACCUUGUCGAUUGACGUUACCCGCAGAAGAAGCACCGGCUAACUCCGUGCCAGCAGCCGCGGUAAUACGGAGGGUGCAAGCGUUAAUCGGAAUUACUGGGCGUAAAGCGCACGCAGGCGGUCUGUCAAGUCGGAUGUGAAAUCCCCGGGCUCAACCUGGGAACUGCAUUCGAAACUGGCAGGCUAGAGUCUUGUAGAGGGGGGUAGAAUUCCAGGUGUAGCGGUGAAAUGCGUAGAGAUCUGGAGGAAUACCGGUGGCGAAGGCGGCCCCCUGGACAAAGACUGACGCUCAGGUGCGAAAGCGUGGGGAGCAAACAGGAUUAGAUACCCGUGUAGUC